UACAGAGGGUGCAAGCGUUAAUCGGAAUCACUGGGCGUAAAGGGCUCGUAGGUGGAUAGUUAAGUUGGAUGUGAAAGCCCCGGGCUCAACCUGGGACGGUCAUUCAAAACUGAUUGUCUAGAGUAUGGUAGAGGGAAGUGGAAUUUCCGGUGUAGCGGUGAAAUGCGUAGAUAUCGGAAGGAACACCAGUGGCGAAGGCGGCUUCCUGGACCAAUACUGACACUGAGGGGCGAAAGCGUGGGUAGCAAACAGG
Molecule: ribosomal RNA, 253 nt
Filed under: uncultured bacterium
Lineage: Bacteria
Description: partial 16S ribosomal RNA
Rfam family: Bacterial small subunit ribosomal RNA
Source: RNAcentral